UGCGGGCGCUGGCCGAGUUCGCCGCGGCGCCGGCCGAGCCGGUCGGCCGGCGCGACACCGACGUGACCUUGUGGAUCGUGGCCGCCCGCCUGUGG
Molecule: transfer RNA, 95 nt
Filed under: Sphaerisporangium melleum
Lineage: Bacteria; Bacillati; Actinomycetota; Actinomycetes; Streptosporangiales; Streptosporangiaceae
Description: tRNA-Ala
Source: RNAcentral